This 173-nucleotide ribosomal RNA is filed under the name Adesmia volckmannii. RNAcentral describes it as "5.8S ribosomal RNA". It matches the Rfam family "5.8S ribosomal RNA". From Rfam's summary of the family: 5.8S ribosomal RNA (5.8S rRNA) is a component of the large subunit of the eukaryotic ribosome. It is transcribed by RNA polymerase I as part of the 45S precursor that also contains 18S and 28S rRNA. Functionally, it is thought that 5.8S rRNA may be involved in ribosome translocation. The record is from RNAcentral. Lineage: Eukaryota; Viridiplantae; Streptophyta; Magnoliopsida; Fabales; Fabaceae.
AAAAUGACUCUCGGCAACGGAUAUCUCGGCUCUUGCAUCGAUGAAGAACGUAGCGAAAUGCGAUACUUGGUGUGAAUUGCAGAAUCCCGUGAACCAUCGAGUCUUUGAACGCAAGUUGCGCCCGAAGCCAUUAGGCCGAGGGCACGCCUGCCUGGGUGUCACUAACCGUAUCC